This 910-nucleotide ribosomal RNA is filed under the name Pleosporaceae sp. PGP7. Its description in RNAcentral is "LSU rRNA". It matches the Rfam family "Eukaryotic large subunit ribosomal RNA", at positions 37 to 965 of the family's 3401-position model. The record is from RNAcentral. Lineage: Eukaryota; Fungi; Ascomycota; Dothideomycetes; Pleosporales; Pleosporaceae.
AGCAUAUCAAUAAGCGGAGGAAAAGAAACCAACAGGGAUUGCCCUAGUAACGGCGAGUGAAGCGGCAACAGCUCAAAUUUGAAAUCUGGCGCUUUCAGCGUCCGAGUUGUAAUUUGCAGAGGGCGCUUUGGCGUUGGCAGCGGUCGAAGUUCCUUGGAACAGGUCGUCACAGAGGGUGAGAAUCCCGUACGUGGCCGCAUGUCUUCGCCGUGUAAAGCCCCUUCGACGAGUCGAGUUGUUUGGGAAUGCAGCUCUAAAUGGGAGGUAAAUUUCUUCUAAAGCUAAAUACUGGCCAGAGACCGAUAGCGCACAAGUAGAGUGAUCGAAAGAUGAAAAGCACUUUGGAAAGAGAGUCAAACAGCACGUGAAAUUGUUGAAAGGGAAGCGCUUGCAGCCAGACUUGCCUGCCGUUGCUCAUCCGGGCUUUUGCCCGGUGCAUUCUUCGGUAGGCAGGCCAGCAUCAGUUUGGGCGGUGGGAUAAAGGUCUCUGUCACGUACCUCCUUUCGGGGAGGCCUUAUAGGGGAGACGUCAUGCCACCAGCCUGGACUGAGGUCCGCGCAUCUGCUAGGAUGCUGGCGUAAUGGCUGUAAGCGGCCCGUCUUGAAACACGGACCAAGGAGUCUAACAUCUAUGCGAGUGUUUGGGUGUCAAGCCCAAGCGCGUAAUGAAAGUGAACGGAGGUGGGACCCCGCAAGGGUGCACCAUCGACCGAUCCUGAUGUCUUCGGAUGGAUUUGAGUAAGAGCAUGGCUGUUGGGACCCGAAAGAUGGUGAACUAUGCUUGAAUAGGGUGAAGCCAGAGGAAACUCUGGUGGAGGCUCGCAGCGGUUCUGACGUGCAAAUCGAUCGUCAAAUUUGGGCAUAGGGGCGAAAGACUAAUCGAACUAUCUAGUAGCUGGUUCCUGCCGAA